CAUGCGGCUGCUUACCAUGCAAGUCGAACGGAGAUUCAGCAAUGGAUCUUAGUGGCGAACGGGUGAGUAACGCGUAGGCAAUCUGCCUUCUAGAUGGGGACAACAUCCCGAAAGGGGUGCUAAUACCGAAUGUUGUACCGUUUCCGCAUGGAGAUGAUACUAAAGGUGGCCUCUGAAUAUGCUACCGCUAGAAGAUGAGCCUGCGUCUGAUUAGCUAGUUGGAGGGGUAACGGCCCACCAAGGCUUCGAUCAGUAGCCGGUCUGAGAGGAUGAACGGCCACACUGGGACUGAGACACGGCCCAGACUCCUACGGGAGGCAGCAGUGGGGAAUCUUCCGCAAUGGACGAAAGUCUGACGGAGCAACGCCGCGUGAGUGAAGAAGGUUUUCGGAUCGUAAAGCUCUUUCGUUAGGGACGAACGUGCUCUUUGUGAAUAAUGAGGAGUAAUGACGGUACCUAAAUAAGAAGCCACGGCUAACUACGUGCCAGCAGCCGCGGUAAUACGUAGGUGGCAAGCGUUGUCCGGAAUUAUUGGGCGUAAAGCGCGCGCAGGCGGGAUAUCAAGUCUGUCUUAAAAGUGCGAGGCUCAACCUCGUGAGGGGACGGAAACUGGUAUUCUUGAGUGUCGGAGAGGAAAGUGGAAUUCCAAGUGUAGCGGUGAAAUGCGUAGAGAUUUGGAAGAGCACCAGUGGCGAAGGCGACUUUCUGGGACGAUGUCUGACGCUGAGGCGCGAAAGCUAGGGGAGCGAACGGGAUUAGAUACCCCGGUAGUCCUAGCCGUAAACGAUGGGUACUAGGUGUAGGGGGGUAUCGACCCCUC
RNAcentral lists this ribosomal RNA (820 nucleotides) under uncultured Desulfovibrio sp. RNAcentral describes it as "bacterial SSU rRNA". It matches the Rfam family "Bacterial small subunit ribosomal RNA", at positions 36 to 841 of the family's 1533-position model. Lineage: Bacteria; Pseudomonadati; Thermodesulfobacteriota; Desulfovibrionia; Desulfovibrionales; Desulfovibrionaceae. The record is from RNAcentral.